Molecule: non-coding RNA, 729 nt
Organism: Chelonia mydas (Green sea turtle)
Lineage: Eukaryota; Metazoa; Chordata; Testudines; Cheloniidae
Source: the annotation of a RefSeq genome assembly
UCUAACAAGAGCAGCAAGAAUGUUGCUGUUAGAGACUUUUGUUCUGGCUAUGGUUUGCUCCUAUGGCUCCUCACAAGUGCGUCCGACCCAGCCUCAACUGUCCAUCACCAGGGAAGGAAAUAAAGCCAUACGAAUUGACUGCCGUGUUUCUCUAUCGGAGGAUUUUGGCAAGGCUCCUAUACACUGGUACAGACAGAGACCCGGUGCAGCUCCAGAACGGAUUCUGUUCAUCUCAACACAGUCUGAAUUUGACAGAGUCUCGGAUAAAGGAAAGUUUAAUGCUGAAAAGAAGAUUGACCAGUCUACCUGUACCCUGACUAUAAACAAAAUAACCUCCAGUGACAUUGCUACUUACUAUUGUGCCUAUUGGGAUCGCACAGUGUUAGAAAACAUUAGACAGCCUGUACAAAAACCCACUCUGCAUUCUGAGCCACAGCCUUUUGCAUGUAUGAGGCCACUGUCACCUCCCUUAAAAUUCCUCUCAGCCUGGAGCCAGCGGCAGAAACUCUUCAUUGGCUUCUGCAACUAGAUAUGAACAGCAACUGCUGAUUUAGUGCGUAUUUUCCAAAUAAAUCACUAAGACCGGGUCAGGUCUAGCAGAACACGAGGUCACCUAGGGAACACAAGGGAGUUAGGCACCCAAUCUCGUUACAAGUCAAUGGGAGUUGUGUGUUUGGCCUUGGCCUUUUAAAAAAAAAAAAUUUUCCCUCUGAAUAUUAGGUGAAGCCG